Molecule: transfer RNA, 73 nt
Filed under: Nicotiana attenuata
Lineage: Eukaryota; Viridiplantae; Streptophyta; Magnoliopsida; Solanales; Solanaceae
Rfam family: tRNA
About the family: Transfer RNA (tRNA) molecules are approximately 80 nucleotides in length. Their secondary structure includes four short double-helical elements and three loops (D, anti-codon, and T loops).
Source: Rfam by way of RNAcentral
GCUUUUGUAGCUCAGUUGGUUAGAGCGUCCGCUUAGUAAACAAAGGUUUUGAGUUUGACUCUUAAUAAGAGCA